RNAcentral lists this ribosomal RNA (443 nucleotides) under uncultured bacterium. RNAcentral describes it as "partial 16S ribosomal RNA". It matches the Rfam family "Bacterial small subunit ribosomal RNA", at positions 338 to 795 of the family's 1533-position model. The record is from RNAcentral.
CCUACGGGAGGCAGCAGUGGGGAAUAUUGGUCAAUGGAGGCAACUCUGACCCAGCAACGCCGCGUGAAUGAUGAAGGUCUUCGGAUUGUAAAGUUCUGUGAUGGGGGAUGAACACAAUGACGGUACCCCAGUAGCAAGCCACGGCUAACUACGUGCCAGCAGCCGCGGUAAUACGUAGGUGGCAAGCGUUAUCCGGAAGGACUGGGCGUAAAGGGUGCGUAGGUUGUUUAGUAAGGUGGCGGGGUAAUUCCGGGGCUCAACCUCGGCGCUACCGCAACAACUGUGAGACUAGAGUGCAGGAGGGGUAAGUGGAAUGCCUAGUGUAGCGGUGGAAUGCGUAGAUAUUAGGAGGAACAUCAGGGGCGAAGGCGACUUACUGGACUGUAACUGACGCUGAGGCACGAAAGCGUGGGGAGCAAACAGGAUUAGAUACCCUUGUAGUC